UCACAUAUUCUAAACUGGUGAGCUUUAAUAGUACAUUUAUAGAUUCACAAAGGCCAUAAAAUCAAAUAUGAUAAAAGACUUAUUGGUUCUCACCAUGGUUAGCAGGUUUCUGGAAUAUAGAAUGCUACGUGCUUCUGUUUCUAUAGUAAGAUACAAUGACCACUUAUUGACCUGUUCCAUGACCAUUCUAGGUUCCUAUUCAGGCCCGGCCCAACACGGCACGCUGACCACGCCCCCGCGUUGGGUGCCACCUUCCCAGGGGCGCUAUUGAGCCCCUGGGAGGCGGGGCCACACCUGGCGGAGGCGGGGCCGCGUGACGCGGGAGGCGGGGCGUGCCCUGGUGCAGUCUGGCUGGGAGGCAGGGUUGCACAAUGCGGGGGGCGUGACCAGGUUUGGCUGGCUUGUUCUCCAUGGAGGAAACUCGGGAGCCAUGCAGGAAGAGGAGAAGAAGGAGGCGGCGGAGGGGAGAGGCGAGGGCGGUCUGAAGAACCAGCACCGGUCCCCCCACUCCAACCGGGUCUUGGAAGGGCUUCGGGUCCAGGGCGCUGUGUGGGCGAGCCCCAUGUGUGCUUAUAUUCUGCUUUGAAGAGCAGCUUUUGCUGAACUUGUUAUGGUUUGGAAUAAUCCUACAACUUGAAUGGAAAAACCACCAGUAAUUGAAUUAGGGACUGGGGUCUCACUUUUUGAAGCAAACACAGCUAAGAUUUUAUGAGAAGAUGAAAAGAUAAUUAUUUGUCCAGUCUGAGUAAAACUUGGUGAUGGUUGUUUUCAUUUUACUUCAUUUUAGUUUUUAAAAAUCUGUUUUGAAAGGCUUUCCUACUGCAGCUUCUCAUUUCAUCUCAUCCCAAGAGGUUUAACCAAGUUCAGUAAAAUGUGUGAUGGAACCAAAUAAAAUGCCUACCCCUCUUCCUGUAACACAGUCA
Long non-coding RNA from Anolis carolinensis (green anole), 923 nucleotides. RefSeq lists it as uncharacterized. The transcript is spliced from 2 exons. NCBI's taxonomy places the organism in Eukaryota, Metazoa, Chordata, Lepidosauria, Squamata, Anolidae. The record is from RefSeq and is a predicted model, not a curated record.